RNAcentral lists this small RNA (131 nucleotides) under Citrobacter werkmanii. Its description in RNAcentral is "RtT sRNA". It matches the Rfam family "RtT RNA". From Rfam's summary of the family: This family represents a bacterial cis-regulatory element known as RtT RNA. The exact function of RtT is unknown although it is thought that it may be involved in changing the cellular response in relation to amino acid starvation. RNAcentral also lists the same sequence under 1 other name. Lineage: Bacteria; Pseudomonadati; Pseudomonadota; Gammaproteobacteria; Enterobacterales; Enterobacteriaceae. The record is from RNAcentral.
UAUUCUGCCCAUGCGGGAAGGAUGAGAAGCUUCGACUAAGGUUCGAUUCGAGCGUAGCGAGAAAGCGUUGCCAACGGCAACGACCCGAAGGGCGAAGCGCGCAGCGCUGAGUCAUCCUUCCCCCACCACCA